Molecule: ribosomal RNA, 468 nt
Filed under: uncultured bacterium
Lineage: Bacteria
Description: partial 16S ribosomal RNA
Rfam family: Bacterial small subunit ribosomal RNA
Source: RNAcentral
GACGAACGCUGGCGGCGUGCUUAACACAUGCAAGUCGAACGGAAAGGCCCUGCUUUUGGGGGGUGCUCGAGUGGCGAACGGGGGAGUAACACGUGAGUAACCUGCCCUUGACUUUGGGAUAACUUCAGGAAACUGGGGCUAAUACCGGAUAGGAGCUCCUGCUGCAUGGUGGGGGUUGGAAAGUUUCGGCGGUUGGGGAUGGACUCGCGGCUUAUCAGCUUGUUGGUGGGGUAGUGGCUUACCAAGGCUUGGACGGGUAGCCGGGCUGAGAGGGUGAGCGGACAAAUUGGGACUGAGAUACGGCCCAGCCUCGUCCGGGACGCAGCAGUGCGGAAGAUUGCACAAUGGGAGGAACGCUGAUGCAGCAACGCCGCGUGCGGGAUGACGGCCUUCGCGUUGUAAACCGAUUUCGCCUGUGACGAAGCGUGAGUGACGGUAAUGGGUAAAGAAGCACCGGCUAACUACGUG